RNAcentral lists this small RNA (104 nucleotides) under Paenisporosarcina sp. HGH0030. Its description in RNAcentral is "Guanidine-I riboswitch aptamer". It matches the Rfam family "Guanidine-I riboswitch aptamer". From Rfam's summary of the family: This family represents a conserved RNA structure found upstream of the ykkC and yxkD genes in Bacillus subtilis and related genes in other bacteria. The function of this family is unclear although it has been suggested that it may function to switch on efflux pumps and detoxification systems in response to harmful environmental molecules. The record is from Rfam by way of RNAcentral. RNAcentral also lists the same sequence under 1 other name. Lineage: Bacteria; Bacillati; Bacillota; Bacilli; Caryophanales; Caryophanaceae.
GGCCAAGUUUUCUAGGGUUCCGCAAACAACCGGUUUGGUCUGGUCCAAGAGAAAACGCUUUGCACACACGCAAAGAUACACGGAAGGAUAAAAGCCUGGGAGAU